UACGGAGGGUGCAAGCGUUAAUCGGAAUUACUGGGCGUAAAGCGCGCGUAGGCGGUUUGUUAAGUCGGAUGUGAAAUCCCCGAGCUCAGCUUGGGAACUGCAUCCGAUACUGGCUUGCUAGAGUGUGGUAGAGGGAAGUGGAAUUCCAGGUGUAGCGGUGAAAUGCGUAGAUAUCUGGAGGAACAUCAGUGGCGAAGGCGGCUUCCUGGACCAACACUGACGCUGAGGCGCGAAAGCGUGGGGAGCAAACAGGAUUAGAUACCCUGGUAGU
This 271-nucleotide ribosomal RNA is filed under the name uncultured bacterium. RNAcentral's name for it is "partial 16S ribosomal RNA". It matches the Rfam family "Bacterial small subunit ribosomal RNA", at positions 524 to 794 of the family's 1533-position model. The record is from RNAcentral.